GACAAUCGAUUCGGUCCGGAUCUCUUUCCGGUUUUCGCAGCUCAUCAUUUCCCCGCCAUUUUGCGGGACGCGUCUUUUCUUGUGUUGCAUGCUAAGGAGCCGCUAAUAAAUCUAGAUAUAUUACCUGUGUGCGAAUUCCUGUGAAAGUAAUUGGUGUGAUCCGCAUUCGUGGCGAAGAGCAAUAACACUGCUAUGAUUAAAGCAGAGGAGGUGCAAAUGCAAAACAGUAACGAAGACAGGGACCGAAGUCGAGAACGUGAUCGUAACCGCAGAUCUGACAGACAACCGCGAAUGAAUUCAACCAGUCGCGAUCGUAGCCGCGAACGGAACGACCGAAGUGCCGGAAGAAAGGUAUCCGAUCGACGAAUCUACGUAUCCAAUAUUCCUUACGAUUUUCGGUGGCAGGACUUAAAAGAUCUCUUCCGAAAUGAAGUUGGAAAAGUUGCUCACGUUGAGUUAUUUAUGGAUGAAAAUGAUAAGCCAAGAGGAUGCGGCAUUGUUGAAUUUGAAGACGCAGACUCGGUGAAAAUAGCCGUUGAUAAAAUGCAUCGAUUUGAUAUCAAAGGCAGGAAGCUGGUCGUUAAAGAAGAUUACGACGUCGAGCGAGACAAGUAUGGUCGGCUAGCAUCGACACGCAAUAAUGAUCGACCACGAGAAGACAGAUUUAGAGAUCCUCCACGAUCCAGUGGCGGUCGACAAAAUAUGCAAACACCCGUUGGAGGUGGUAGUGGAGGUGGUGGCGGUGAUAAUAAAUUUGGAAAUACGUAUGGCCUCAGUACGCAGUUCUUGGAGUCCUUGGGAAUUUCUGGUCCUCUGGUUACCAGAGUCUUUGUUGCAAACUUGGAUUACAAAGUUGAUGAGAAAAAACUACUUGAAGUUUUCAAAUUAGCUGGUAAAGUACUUCACGUCGAGCUCGGCAAAGACAAAGAUGGAAAAUCUAGAGGUUUUGGGGUUGUGGAGUAUGAUCAUCCCGUUGAAUCAGUCCAAGCCAUAUCUAUGCUCCAUAAUCAACAACUUUUUGACCGCCGUAUGACUGUGAGGCUUGACCGUGCCAAUGAGCCUGAUAUGCCUCCUAAACUCCCUGAAGGUUUGAAAGGAAUUGGUAUGGGUCUCGGUGCUGGUGGAAAUCGAUUGAUGGAUGUAGCUAGGAACAUUCCAAGUGUGCAACCAAAUAAUCCUCCAGCAGUUAACCCUAUCUCAACACCAGUCCUUGCCACAGGAGCAUUCGGCAGUGGGCUAAAUAAUGUUGUACCUGCACAACUAGCAUCUGCACUCUCAAAUUCGAAUGCGGCAGCACUUCAAGCCAGUUUAGCUGGUGGUUUGGGUGGCAAUCUAGCAACCAGUUCAUUGUUGAAUUCGUCCCUCACAAAUGAAUUAGCAUCAAAUCUCAACAACUUUGGAGGUGGAGUUGGAGGGCUUUCUAAUCUUCAAGCUUCUUUUGCCAAUGCUCAAAGCAACCUUGGUGCCUUUGCACCUAGGGGUAUGGGAAAGUUGGACAACGAAGUAGGGUUUGGUGGAAGUAACAGUUUUGGUGGUUCAAAUUUUGGUAGCAGGGAUUUCGAUGGGAACUUUAGAGGAGACAAUGAUCGUAUGUCCGGAGGAACAGCGGCAUUUUCUACAAAUCAAAACCAAAGUGUAGGUGGAAAUCGACAAAAUACCAAUGGUGGAAGAUCUUCCGAUACAAUUCUAAUUGGCAAUUUACCACCAAGUACCACAUGGCAGAUGUUACGUGAUAAAUUUCAAGAUGUUGGUGAAGUGAAAUUUGCUGAGAUGCGGGGCUCUGACAUGGGAUUAGUCCGAUUUGCUUCCGAAUGGGAAGCUGAGCGAGCUGUCGCAAUGAUGGACCGAUCACGCAUUGAUGGUAGGAACAUUGACGUUCGCCUCUACUAAUGCUUCGCCUCCAAGGACGAAAUCGAUUCCUGUGCCGAAGUGAGGGAAACGAAGAACCAAAAAGGAAUUUCGUACUGUAACUUGAAGAAUCGAUCCAAUACAGUAAUAAAAUACGUGGAACGGAAUAUGAUCAAUAAUUGGAAAAUAACGUAAAAUGUAUCCAGAGGUGUGUGUAUGAGUAUGUGUGAAAAAAUAAAGGAUAGCUGGUAUACUUCUCUUAA
This 2111-nucleotide unclassified non-coding RNA is filed under the name Neodiprion lecontei (redheaded pine sawfly). RNAcentral describes it as "myelin expression factor 2, transcript variant X3". Lineage: Eukaryota; Metazoa; Arthropoda; Insecta; Hymenoptera; Diprionidae. The record is from RNAcentral.